RNAcentral lists this ribosomal RNA (369 nucleotides) under uncultured phototrophic eukaryote. Its description in RNAcentral is "SSU rRNA". It matches the Rfam family "Bacterial small subunit ribosomal RNA", at positions 524 to 896 of the family's 1533-position model. The record is from RNAcentral.
UACGGGGGAUGCAAGCGUUAUCCGGAAUCAUUGGGCGUAAAGCGCCUGUAGGUUGUUUAAUAAGUCUGUUGUUAAAGACUAGGGCUUAACCCUAGAAAAGCAAUGGAAACUAUUAGACUAGAGUAUGGCAGGGGUAGAGGGAAUUUCUAGUGUAGCGGUGAAAUGCGUAGAUAUUAGAAAGAACACCAGCGGCGAAAGCGCUCUACUGGACCAUUACUGACACUCAGAGGCGAAAGCUAGGGUAGCAAAAGGGAUUAGAUACCCCUGUAGUCCUAGCCGUAAACGAUGGAUACUAGAUGUUGUAUUUAUUUUACAGUAUCGUAGCUAACGCGUUAAGUAUCCCGCCUGGGGAGUACGCUCGCAAGGGUG